CAGAGAAAAGGCAAUGAAGUCUGCCUGAACCACCUGCGCCCGGCGCCGGUUGAUGACUUCUACCUCAGG
Molecule: non-coding RNA, 69 nt
Filed under: Desulfacinum infernum
Lineage: Bacteria; Pseudomonadati; Thermodesulfobacteriota; Syntrophobacteria; Syntrophobacterales; Syntrophobacteraceae
Description: Fluoride sequence
Rfam family: Fluoride riboswitch aptamer (crcB RNA motif)
Source: RNAcentral